RNAcentral lists this transfer RNA (71 nucleotides) under Sphaerodactylus shrevei. RNAcentral's name for it is "tRNA-Glu". The record is from RNAcentral. Lineage: Eukaryota; Metazoa; Chordata; Lepidosauria; Squamata; Sphaerodactylidae.
UAGAAAAGUGGACUACGAAUCCACACCAAGAGACUCAAACUCUCCCGUACUUCCAACUAUACUACUUUGUA